This 231-nucleotide non-coding RNA is filed under the name Oceanobacillus jeddahensis. RNAcentral's name for it is "Cis-regulator of HTH transcription factor". It matches the Rfam family "Cis-regulator of HTH transcription factor". From Rfam's summary of the family: This element was identified by RNA deep sequencing of Clostridioides difficile 630 where it is located immediately upstream of an uncharacterized HTH-type Transcriptional regulator. Homologues are found widely across firmicutes, consistently located 5' of transcriptional regulators of similar size and sequence, which strongly supports a cis-regulatory function. The record is from RNAcentral. Lineage: Bacteria; Bacillati; Bacillota; Bacilli; Caryophanales; Bacillaceae.
UUUUUUACGCAUCAUAAACUACCUUUAUACAUUUUAUUGCUCCUGUUAGAACAGAAAUAGGUAUAACAAAGCGUAUUAUGUGGUUAAGGAAUUCCUAUUACGUGUUUCAUACAACAAAAAGUACUGUCAGACGGAAAUAAAAAAAACCGUUAUCUGGCAGUACCCUUUUUCAUGCGUUAAAGUACACCCCCUUUCCCAGACGACGAUUUAAUAACCGCCGUCUAUAUUUUU